GGGACUAAAAAGAUCGGCGUCCGGGCCAUUCUGUGCCUCCUCCGCCAACCGAACCCCGUCGUAGAACAUCGUCGGCGCCUUUUUAUCCCCUCCCGGCCCUCCACUCUGCCGGCCUCCGCCACGAGCGGCAGCGCUGUAAGAAUCUUCACCGCCGGGUCGCCGGAACUGCUCGGCGGGGAGCGGUUGUGGAGGGUGGGGAGACGUUAAAAUAGAAGAAUUCUGUGGGAAAGAAGAGGCAGCGACGGAGGGCGUUCUUCCACUUCGAAACCAGCCUGCCUAACAGCGUUGCGAGCACCCAUUUGAGAUGAAAUUUGCAGAUUGGUACCUGAAGAUCGCGGCGGUAUCGGCGCUGUGUGGAGCCGCGAUGGAGCUCUUCAUGAUCCACACCGGCUUCUGUAUCACUAUGAUAAGGUAACUGUUCUGGAGUCAGAAAAGCGAGCAUGGGAGAGCUCUCCAGAAGCUCAAGCCAUCAAAGAUGCUCUUAAUCCAUGGAGAAAGCUUGAUGAAGAAGCAAAAAGACCCUCAUAAUGAAAUAAAUGUCAAUGGUGUGCCUCCAUCAAUUGAUCUCAUGCCUUUGGUUGCGCCGUUUCCUUGGGUUGAAAGGAAAUAGAGGUUUGUCUGGAAUUUAGAUUUCAUAUCCACUGACUUGGUUUGUAUUUCUCAAGAACUACUUUAUGCGAAAAUAAUGUUAAAGAAUAAUCAAAACAUAGAUGUGUCUAUCAUAUACUGAUCCACAACCCAAAUAUAUAUUGAGAACUUCUUGCAUGUUGAAGACA
This is a non-coding RNA of Phoenix dactylifera (date palm), 776 nucleotides long. NCBI's taxonomy places the organism in Eukaryota, Viridiplantae, Streptophyta, Magnoliopsida, Arecales, Arecaceae. The record is from RefSeq and is a predicted model, not a curated record.